ACAAAAUGUAAAAGUAAAUUCAUUCAAAUGUGUUAAUUUAACAAAAUUCAUCUAUUAUUUAACCUAAACUGUAUUAAUUGGUUGUAUUAAUUCAAGCUGUUUCGGUGGCUUUUCUCGAGUGUUAAUUUCAUCUUGAAUUUGCUCUAGCUGAUUGACAUUAAUUAAGUUAACAGAUAUAAAAAAGGUGUAGGUUGAAUACACAUUUUGCUGUGUUUUUACAGUUUCAACAAUCUUUUUUUUGUCUUAUUUCUUGUGUUAAUGAUCAAAUGGUCCAUUAAUUUGAUCGCUAUACUGGUAAUAUAUUAUGCCUAAUUAGACCUGAUUUUGGUUUUCCCUUUGCUGAUUCAAUGGAUGAUUGAUUUUUUCAUCAUUUUCCAUUUUCUUCCAUCAACAUGCUGCAUUAAAAUGGAUACAAACCAAAAGUAAACUGAGAAAGUAAUUUGCUAUUGAUAAAUACCUUGAAUCAACUUUAAUUACUUGCAGUUUAUUUUAAUGUUAAUGAUUCAUGUUUUUCUUCAUGUGAAUUACUCCUCUUCUUACCGAUUUUUUAUAUACACAUGGAUAUUCAUUCACAUGUACAUGUCUUGAUGCCAUUUUUUCACCAAUCAGUGGAAUUAUUGUUUAGGUCUUUGGCAUGAAAAUUUUUUUGCUGAUGUAAAACGAGAUGUGGAGGUUGCAUUUUUAAUGACUUACUAAUGGCAAUCAACUCUUUAACAUGGUUUACUUCCUCAUCUAAUCAACCUCAAAGGACAUUUCAGAGGAAUCGGAAAUGGUUUUACCCUUUACACCAGAAAAUGUCAAAAAUUAUGAUGAAACAAAGUAAUGGCUUGACUUUGCCUAUUAACUUUAUGGAACCAACUUAAACCCAGUUAUCAAUGGAGUUGAACAUUCAUUUACUUGAAACAGUAAAAUUAUCUAUUCUCGACUAAACAUCAUUAUCAUCACCAUUAUCAUCAUCAAUUCAUUCUCAAAAUCAGUUAUUAUAUUAUUAUGAUGACUCGUAACUCCAUAUAUUCAAAGGAGUUAUAAUCCUUUCUACAGACUGAAACAUUGGAAACAAGACUCAUUUCAAGGCAAUCUUUUGGAAACAGAUCAUUACUCGGAAGUCUCUCAAGUCAGUCAUGAUCCACCUUUUAUCUCGCUUUCCCUCUGUUUUUACACCAUUUAUCUCACCAUGUGCUUGUACGAGUUUCUUCUUCCUCACAAUCUUCAGAUGAUUUCCGGAACCCAAAAGGAACACGUUCAAAAUGUGAAAUAAUUUUGGUGCAAACAAGAAUCCAAUCAUGGUUACAAUACUUAUGAUACUGUUGAUAAUGAUGGCAUCAUUUAUACAAGCUCCUCCAAAUUUAUUUAUCUCUUAAACGGACCGACAAUAUAAUAAUAAUAACAAUAGGACCUAACACUGAAAACCAGAAGAUAAUACAUAAUAUCAAGAGAUAUUGUGAGUAAAAUGCUUCUCAAAAUAAUUGAUAAUUUGAUUUACCUUCAUUCAAUUUCACUAUUCACAGCAUUUAAAAAGAUGAAAAUUUUCCCUGCUUCAUCCAGACAAACUUGGAUAUUAACCUUUUCGUUUACAAAUAUUAUUGCCCUCUUUUUCAUUAUUAUUAUGAUUAUGAUUAUUAUUGACUUGAUACCAUUUAUCAUGUUAAACCCACAAACUUAUUCAACAUUGUUUGAGAUACACACACAAAAGGAGAUUUGUGACUGGGAAAGAUGCAAAGGAACCACCAAAAACAACAAGAUAUCCAUAAGACUACAGGGCAUAUUGGAUACAGACAAGAUUUAAAUAUUACAAUACAAGCCUGAUGUAAAAGCCUCCGUAAAUUGCUGUUGUACCUCCAAUGAUUCUGUUAAUCUGUUACCCAAUUUGUAUUGACAGUUUCGUGUCUCUUUAUGAUUACAACUCUAAUACCAAGCCCAAAUGUUCAAAUUAACCUAACAGUUAGACCAGAGCAAAACGUAACACUAUCUUUGGUUAUUACUGAAAAUUAUUGGUAAUAUUCAUUUGCGAUGGAAAAGUCAUUCUUUAAGCAGACGUAAAAAAUUUUCGUUCGAGUUAGAGUUGAAUCUUUGUUGGUUGUAGACUCAUAAACUGAUUCCAUUCCAACAGAUUAACGGUUCAGUGGAUGCUGAUCUGCUUUCAAUAUCACACACAUUAUCAUCAUCUUCAUCAUCUUAUCAUCACCAUUAACAUGACACACAGUCAGAUCAGAGGGCCAAAAAGUCUAUGACUUCAAUUGAAAAAAUAUAUAAAAUAGCAAACAAAUUGAAUGCAAAAAUUUGUCUCCAUUCAAAUUUGAUUCACAUUUUUUGAACCGUUGCUUGUAGCAUUAUUGAAUACUUUAUACGUGACUUUUGAGAUGGACCAAGAAGAUGAUGAUGAUGAGAAGAGCAAUGAUGAAGAAUGACUUGUGGAGAUGAAAUGAUGAUAAAAGAUAAGGUAUGAAAUGUUAUCCAUUGUCUUUCAAUGGAUAUCAUUGCACUAAACAUGAGCUUCAAUUGAUCUCAAGAGGCAAAAAUUGUAAUUUUCAGUUGGACUAUCAAAUUGGCGAUAAUGACAAUGAUGACAAUGGCGAGGAUCAAUAUGAUGGUACAUCUUACAAUGUACAGAAAUGAGUCGAUGAAUUAUACUUGGAUAGUUCCAUUCAGUGUUUAUUAUUUUUCAUCUUUACCCUCUUAGACUCUUUUGUCACAUUUUUCAUUCCAUUUGAUACUCUUGUUGAAAGAAGAGAGUUGAAAAAACUGUUGAAAUCUGUCGAUCCAACUUAAUGUGACCUUUUUUUAUCCCAUUAUUUGAAGUCUUUAAUGACCAUUAAUCGAUAUAAACCCAAUUUAUGUAACCAUUUGUGUUAUUAAUAACCAUUAAAUGUGUAUCAAUAUCAAUAUCUCA
This is a non-coding RNA of Tetranychus urticae (two-spotted spider mite), 2890 nucleotides long. The record is from RefSeq and is a predicted model, not a curated record. Lineage: Eukaryota; Metazoa; Arthropoda; Arachnida; Trombidiformes; Tetranychidae.